GGAAGGGGUCCAGUUUCAAUUUUCUACAUAUGGCUAACCAGUUUUCCCAGCACCAUUUAUUAAAUGAGGGAUUCUUUCCCCAUUACUUGUUUAGUCAGGUUUGUUGAAGAUCAGAUUUUUGUAGAAGUGCAGUCUUAUUUCUAAGUUGGUCAAUGUUUUACCAGUUUUUGCAUGCAUUUGUGUGUGUGUGUGUGUGUGUGUGUGUGUGUGUGUGUGUGUAUGUGUGUGAUUGUUUGUAGUUCCAUCACCACAAAGGAACUUCCUUGUUCUCUCCAUGUAUAUUCAUAUCUCCUCUCCUCCUGGAAACUACUUAUCUUUUCUCCAUCUGUAUAAUUUUAUCAUUUUGAGGAUGUUAUUAAGUGUAGUCAUACAAUAUGCACUUAAUACUCGGUAUGUAACUUUUGAGAUUGGCUCUUUUCCCUCCACUGAACGUAAUGUUCUUGAGAUCCAUCCAAGUUUUCUCAUGUGUCAAUAGUUUGUUCCUUUUCAUUUCUGUGUAGCAUUCUAUUGUAUGAAUGUGACAUAGUAUGUUUAAUCAUUCAUCUAUUGAGAGACAUUUGGGAUGUUGCUAGUGUUGGGUUAUUAUGAAUAAUGCUGUCAUGAACAUUCAUGUACAGGUUUAAUGUAAACAUAGGUUUUUUUUUUCUAUUGGAUAAAUGAACAAAAGAAUAAUUGUCGGGUCAUAAGGUAAGUAGUUUAGUUUUAUGAGAAACAGGCAAACAACAACUUCUUCUUCUCCUUCUCCUCCUCCUCCUCCUCCUCCUUCUUUUCUUCUUCUUCUUUCUUCUUCUUUUUUUUGCAGAAUGGGGUUUUGAAUGUUUGGGAGGAAUACCAAAUCCAUGAUGUGAAGCUCUUUGUAGUUUGUUUUAGACAAGGAUUUGCAUCCUGCUCUGAAAGACCAUUGUAUAGUGGUCAGUUAGCUCUUAAGCAAUGAGUAUGUUGAGUAUCCACAUCUCACUGUGCUUUUAGUAUUUUCUAUAAUGACUCUUGCUACUUUACUGAGGCUAUGAUCUGCAGAGCCAGUCAUAGGGGUAAGCUAUAAAGUAUUUUUAGAAUAACUCAAAUUUUUUACUUGUAUUUCUAAAAUAACAUGAAGGAGACACAUAGCUCACCCCAAUGUUUCAUAUAAAUUCCCAUUUCCUCUCUAUUCAGCUGCCCUUGUACCUGUGACUCUUUUAUUCCCCUUUAAGAUGCUGUACCUUCUUACCAACUGAUCUCUUACCUUGUCCAUUUCUCUCUACCACAGACUUCUCCUAAGAAUUUCCUCUUCUCAUUUUUGCCUUUUUAUUCUGUUGAUCAUGUUGCCAUUCCUAGUCCCACUACUUGGCUGAUUCUGCAUCAUAGAAGCUAGCUUAACAGCAUAUUAUCGUGGAUGUGAAUAUAUUCCCUAUAUUUGAGUAGGGAAUAUGAUCACGAGUUCUAUAGUCUCUUUCCAAAAACAUUUUUUAGAGACAAGUCUUUUCUCCUGAAUAUUUGUUUUGUUUGGAACAUCUCUGCUCUUACUCUGAAUCACAGUGACAUUAUUCAGGGGGUAUCUAGGGACACCCUGGAUAAUCUGCUUUUUGAUCACAUCCUGUGACCUCUUUUUAUUCCCUGUUCUGGCCAGAAAUUAUUGUGUCCAUUUUUUUUUCAGGCCAGCUAAUAUUUGAGGACUAGAAUAUCUUUUCAGGUAUCUUAUUAGUUAGAAAUAAAUGAUUGGCUCUAACUAUGACAGAUAGGAAUCUGUUGUUCACAAGCAGUCAUCCCAAGGAAACAAAGCUCUGAAGGCCCCCAGAAGUAUUUUUAAGAAGUGGGAAGCUGCUCUUGAAUUUAUUGCUUUUGUUUAGAAGGAAAGGAUGAGAGAGAGAGAGAGAAAGGUCAGCAGCAUGAAUACUGGGCAGGGGACUUCAGAGCCAUUUGCUCUGCUACUGAUUUUGUAGCUGUCUAUCAAGAAGUCUCUUGUGCCUUUGAGCAGUUCAUUUUAUCAGAUUUCCAUCAUCUGUAAAGUGUAGCAGCUGGAUUGAAUUUUUCAGUCUCUAAAAUUUUGGUAUCAGUGAUUCACAGAUAGAGAGAAAGUAAAUGAAUUGCCUAAAGUUACGUGAUUUACCCAUGGCAGAGCCAGCACUCACCCCGCUAGGUCCUUAUAGUUCUUGCCUUGUAUAUGGGUAGUACAUUAGCUGAGUGUAGUUUGGACACUUUCUGUGCUUUCUGAGUGGACUCCUCACUAAUCCAUCUUUAGUCAAUCAAGCACUCUUGGUUAUUACUUAAAGUGAUGACAUUCUAAGAAUUUUUAGGUUCUUUAGUUGGUUUCCUUUUUUUGACCUGUUGGUGAGUUUUUGCCAAUCUCAUGUGACAAAGAUUGUGAAAGUCCUAAAUAAUGUUCUCUAAGAUCUUAAUGCAAAUUGGUAUUCUACUUCUCUUCUUAGAGACAUUAGCUCCACUGGAGGAAGAAGACACAAAUGCUUAUUUCAUCUUAAAAGUCAGUUAUCUUGCCUUACAACAUAAAGUAGUAUUUUCCGCAUUAAAUUAUUUGAGUUUCACCUUGACAUUUUUUCUCCUGUUUGUCCCACCCACCCCACUGUUAUUUCAUUAAUAUUUUUCUUUAAAUGAACUUACUUUAUUUUACUUAAGUAAAAAAUUUGAUAACUCUGAACUCACAGCUUGAUUUAUGAUGUUGUUUCCAAUUCACUUUAAAGUAAUAAACUAUAUAUAAAGCUUUCUUGUACCAUCUGAAACCUUCUCAUGUGUACAUACAAUACUUUGGGAAACUGCGUAAGACCGUCUGGGUCUGAUGGUUGAAUGGUAAGAGAAGGGAGGAAUAAAAAAAUGAGAAACAAAAAUGAUACUAUUACAAGCUUAUAAGCCAUAUGGGUAAGAAAUUAGAAUGGAAACAUGAGUUUGUAAAGACAGAUAAAUGAAUUUCCUUGACUUCAAGCCCCUAUUAUUGUCAAGAUAAUGUUGUGCAUGUAAAGAAGGAAGUCUAACAAAAUGGCAUUCCAUUCUGGGGCUUAAAUGCUUGCCCUUGCUUCUUUUUUAUGACUCUUGCUUUAUUGAAUAGCACUGGGGUCAUAAGGCCCCAGUAGAUGUAAAUGCUAUGCUAUACAUCUUGUCAGGAAGGCCAGCCUUUGUGUCAGGAGGAGGAAUUCUUGUCCUUGUUGCAAGAAGGUAAAACAGGCAGAAGCGAAUGAGGUCAGAUUUAGAUUGCCAAGCCUUGGGUGGGACUCUUGGAGGUCGGAACACAGACAAAGGGUAACAGGAAAGCCUGAUUAAGAGCAAGAGAUGGGUAGGGCUGGCUUCAUGGGCAUGUGACCAUGUGAACUUGUGGUUGCACAAGUUCCUAUGUCUAGAAGGGCCCUGAACUUGGCUUAAUGCUCUGCUGUCACUGUCUUGAAAUUCUUCUUAAUUUUUAAAUGAGGAACCUUGUGUUUUUAUUUUGCUCUGGGCCCUGUAAACUAUGUAGCCAGCCCUUGGUAUGGGGUAGACAGAUGCUAUGGAAGACUUUGUGGUUUAGGUUCAUGGGGUAGAGAGAACUGGAAGAGUGAUAACUAGAUAAUAAGUUGCAAAAAAGAAAAAGGUUUCAGCCACUUACUGAUGGUGUCUCUUCUGAUUGACCUUAGUUUAUAGAUUAAAGAAUUUAGCAUUGGACUCCAGGAUUCUUUUUGCCUUAAAUUCCUAGGCUGCCUGACUAACUUCCUUCCAUCGUUAUGGAGUAGUAGAAGAAAUGGCAAAUUAUAUCUGGAAAACAUGGACAAUGGAGUGAAUAGAUCUCUGAGAACUUGAAAAAAUUAUGUAGUAAGUUUGUUCCUGAAGAGUUAAAUUGUAAAACCAACUCAUAGUGGAUUAAGUAGGGGCUUGCAUGUAAAUAUCCACAAAGGGUGGCUUUAAGACAACAGAGAGUGAUGGGCAGUAGGGUGAUGGUGGACAUCCAAGGAAACACAGCAUGUUUAAAGGAAAAUCUGUAUUGAAUUUCAGCCUAUAAUUGCCAAGUUAUGUUCAGUCAUGUUAUUGUUCCUUAUAGCUAAAAACCUUCCAGGUUUUUUAGGAGUAGCUGGAAAUCUGGAUUUUUGACUGUGAUAUUUUUCAAUUAUAUAAAAAAAACGCAACUAUGUGGACUAUGAAUGAGUUGAAUUCAUUUUAAUCCUUAAGUGGACUUUUUGAAAACUUCUUUUCUGAAGAUUAAGAAGUGACCAUUCAAAUUACUGUUUUAGGGAGGGAGUCAUAGCAGUAUGAGGCCAUCCCUAGUAAGGAGAUAGAGUUAGAGUUGCCAGUGGAUAUUGCAGAUUAUGAUACUGCAGGAGCUCUAAAUUUUCUAUAUCGGAGAGUCUUGGGGUUGAAAAGGGGCUUGCUUUUGAGAGCUUAAUGCUAUGGUUUGAUUGUGUCCCCAGAUUUCAUGUAUUGGAAAUUUAAUCCCCAAAUUUAUAUGUUGAUGACAUUCGGAAGUGAGGCCUUUGGAAGAUAAUUAGGAUUAGAUAAAGUCAGCAGGGUGGGCCUCCCAUGAUGGGACUGGUGGCUUUAUAAGAAGAGGAAGAAAGACCUGAACAGAACUUGCCUUCUCACCAUGGGAUACCCUCUGCUAUUUUAUGACAUGACAGGAAGGCCCUCACCAGAUGCUGGUGCUAUGCUCUUUGACUUCCCAGCCUCCAGAACCGUUAUCUUUAUUGUUUAUAAAUUACCCAGUCUGUGGUAGUUGGUUAUAGUGACAGAAAACAGACUAAGACAACUUAUUUUGGAGUUAUGUUUCAGACUCAUUGUUUUUACUUAGAUUAUAUGAUGUAGUCAUAAGAAAUAGCCAACCUUUCUAGUACAUUUUUCCCACACCUUAUAUGUGAUUGAAAAACCAGCAAUUGCCCAUCUCUAGGAGUGGGUGGGGAACUCUCAGGACUGCUGGAGUCUAAGGGGAUAUUAAAAAAAAGAGUUCUCACACCCUCAGACCAGUCUUUUGCCUACCACUCUUAUGGUUUAUUGUUAAAACAAGGUCAUCAGUAUUAUGGAUACAUCAGGCCUUCUUAGCCUGAUAUUAUUAAACAUGCAGUUUAUUUUGUGAUUUCCCCAUGAUUGUGUGCUCACCUUCUGAAUAUGAUUUGACUUCCCAACUGGAUUGGUCAGAGGGAGGGAAUGGGUAGGUCCUGCAGUUUAAAAUAUAGGUGUUUCUGUGACUAUUGUUAAUUAUAACUUAAUAAAUUGACAUUCUAGUGUACAGCAGUCUUGUGACUGUGGUUAGUGAAUUUGCCAGUGAAAUUUCAAAUGUCUUUGGUCAGCUGACAUACUCAGUUUUGAACUUGGGCAGCUCAGAAGCAGACCGUAGACUAUAGCAAAC
Molecule: long non-coding RNA, 5296 nt
Organism: Sapajus apella (tufted capuchin)
Lineage: Eukaryota; Metazoa; Chordata; Mammalia; Primates; Cebidae
Exons: 2
Source: RefSeq, a predicted model, not a curated record